Molecule: long non-coding RNA, 360 nt
Organism: Hemicordylus capensis (graceful crag lizard)
Lineage: Eukaryota; Metazoa; Chordata; Lepidosauria; Squamata; Cordylidae
Exons: 3
Source: RefSeq, a predicted model, not a curated record
CUCUGGAGUGUGGAUUCUGGGGGAAACAGGAGGGAGUUACAGAUACACACUUGAUCAGUAGCUCUAACAAAGAGUGCAUGUGAAAAUGGUUCCAGUUACCCACACCUGUGCCAAAAGCAUCUCUAUACACCUUGCAAAUUGAUGAAGAAUAAUUAUGGGCUGAAUAGAAGGCUUGGAGCAAGAGCCAGAGCCCGACUCCUCCAACUUGGACUUGGAACUGCUCAGUAUCAGGAUAAUUCAGAUGUAGCUUGUUCGGGCUGUUCUAAGAUAAGCACAAGUGGGGAAUAUAGUACAACUUGAAGGAGUCAGAAAAGAACAAAGAAGCUUUGAGGUUAUAUAGACAACUAUUUUGAUUUGAAG